UACAUGGCUCAGUCGGCAGAGCAUGAAACUCUUAAUGUCAGGGUUGUGGGUUCGAGUUCCACAUUGGGCAAAA
Molecule: non-coding RNA, 73 nt
Organism: Podarcis lilfordi (Lilford's wall lizard)
Lineage: Eukaryota; Metazoa; Chordata; Lepidosauria; Squamata; Lacertidae
Source: the annotation of a GenBank genome assembly